CUUUACUGUAGCUUGGAAUUGAGUUUGGGUUUAUUUUGCGCAGUAUAGGUGGGAGGCUAAGAUAGUAAGCUUGAGGGUUUAUUGGAGCCAAUAGUGAGAUACCACUCUAAGUAAACUAGAAUUCUAACCUUGAUAGUCGUUAACCGGCCAAGGAACAGUUUCAGGUGGGCAGUUUGACUGGGGCGGUCGCCUCCUAAAAGGUAACGGAGGCGUGCAAAGGUUCCCUCAGGCUGGUCGGAAAUCAGUCGUAGAGUGUAAAGGCAUAAGGGAGCUUGACUGCAAGACCUACAAGUCGAGCAGAGACGAAAGUCGGCCUUAGUG
This 321-nucleotide ribosomal RNA is filed under the name Gibsmithia hawaiiensis. RNAcentral describes it as "bacterial LSU rRNA". It matches the Rfam family "Bacterial large subunit ribosomal RNA", at positions 2099 to 2417 of the family's 2925-position model. The record is from RNAcentral. Lineage: Eukaryota; Rhodophyta; Florideophyceae; Gigartinales; Dumontiaceae.